CCCGCAAGGGCCAGUGGCGGAAGGGUUAGUAAUAGCAUCGAACGUACCCCGAGGUGGCGGAUAGCGGUGGGAAACUGCCGGUAAUACGCCAUGAUCUCUCAGGAGCAAAGGUUUACCGCCUUGGGCUCGGCGAUGCGCCUAUCAGCUAGUUGGCGGGGUAAUGGCCCACCAAGGCGAAGACGGGUAGCGGGUGUGAGAGCACGGCCCGCAACAUCGGGACUGAGACACUGCCCGGACUCCUACGGGAGGCUGCAGCGACGAAUCUUCCGCAAUGGGCGCAAGCCUGACGGAGCAAUACCGCGUGUGGGAUGAAGCGGCUACGCCGUGUAAACCACUGUCAGGGGACGGAACCAAUGAUUGUCCCCAAAGGAAGAGACGGCUAACUCUGUGCCAGCAGCCGCGGUAAUACAGAGGUCUCGAGCGUUAAUCGGAAUCACUGGGCUUAAAGGGUGCGUAGGCGGCCCCGAAAGCGUCGUGUGAAAGCCCCUGGCUCAACCAGGGAACAGCACGGCGAACUACGGGGCUUGAGAAAACUAGGGGCCGACAGAACAGUAGGUGGAGCGGUGAAAUGCGUAGAUAUCUACUGGAAUGCCGAUGGUGAAGACGGUCGGCUGGGGUUUUUCUGACGCUGAGGCACGAAAGCGUGGGGAGCAAACAGGAUUAGAUACCCUGGUAGUCCACGCCGUAAACGAUGCACACUAGACCGGUGCGGCUCUGACGCCGGAUCGGUCGCCGUAAAAACAUUAAGUGUGCCGCCUGGGGAGUACGGUCGCAAGGCUAAAACUCAAAGGAAUUGACGGGGGCUCACACAAGCGGUGGAGCAUGUUGC
Molecule: ribosomal RNA, 829 nt
Filed under: uncultured Bacillota bacterium
Lineage: Bacteria; Bacillati; Bacillota
Description: bacterial SSU rRNA
Rfam family: Bacterial small subunit ribosomal RNA
Source: RNAcentral